This 447-nucleotide ribosomal RNA is filed under the name uncultured bacterium. RNAcentral's name for it is "partial 16S ribosomal RNA". It matches the Rfam family "Bacterial small subunit ribosomal RNA", at positions 331 to 794 of the family's 1533-position model. The record is from RNAcentral.
CCAGACUCCUACGGGAGGCAGCAGUGGGGAAUAUUGCACAAUGGGCGAAAGCCUGAUGCAGCAACGCCGCGUGAAGGAAGAAGGCCUUCGGGUCGUAAACUUCUGUCCUUGGGGAAGAAGAACUGACGGUACCCAAGGAGGAAGCCCCGGCUAACUACGUGCCAGCAGCUGCGGUAAUACGUAGGGAGCGAGCGUUGUCCGGAAUUACUGGGUGUAAAGGGAGCGUAGGCGGGACUGCAAGUUGGGUGUCAAAUCUACCGGCUCAACCGGUAGCCGCACUCAAAACUGCAGUUCUUGAGUGAAGUAGAGGCAGGCGGAAUUCCUAGUGUAGCGGUGAAAUGCGUAGAUAUUAGGAGGAACACCAGUGGCGAAGGCGGCCUGCUGGGCUUUUACUGACGCUGAGGCUCGAAAGUGUGGGGAGCAAACAGGAUUAGAUACCCCUGUACA